This is a long non-coding RNA of Fukomys damarensis (Damara mole-rat), 4135 nucleotides long. NCBI's taxonomy places the organism in Eukaryota, Metazoa, Chordata, Mammalia, Rodentia, Bathyergidae. The record is from Ensembl.
AUGGGGUCUCAGCCCUCGGCUUUUCCUGAGCCUCCCGGGCCACGCGCAGCAACCGCCAGGGAGGAGAUGGAGCUGGGUGUGCAGGACCCUGGGCCGAGCCCCUCUGAGGAUGAGAGUCCCCCUCGAGUGACAGGGAGGCCACGCUGGAAGAUGCUCACCAGGCACAGCACCCCUCAGGACACGGAGACAGCCCUGCACUGGAGCCCAAGGCCUCGAGGCCGGGCCUCCCACCUGCGAGAGUCCCCGUCAGCCCCACAUUAUGCCGAGGAACUCGUGUCCCAACCAGCAGGGCUCAGCCCUGGGGCCACCUUCAGGAAGAGGAGACUGUCAACCAUCUAUGCCUUGGAGGAAGGGCCCAGUGAGCAGUCAGAGCCCUGCUCAGAGCCCUCGGCUCUUGGGGAUGAACUGCCAGUGACAGCUGCGCUGGCUAGGCCACAGCAGAAGGCAGAGAACCUGCAAGCAGAGAGCUGGUCGCACAACCCAGGGCUGCCCGGGGUCUCACACACAGCUGGAAGGAAGAGACGGGACCCAAAGAAGCGGGCAGCUGUGAUGCUGCGGGUGAGACAAUGGGAGGCCCGCCUGCUGCAGGACAUCGAGGCAGCUGUCCAUCAUGAGCUCACCAUCCAGGUCGAGGGCGCGCCUAGCACCGGCAUGGUCCAGGUCAUGGCCCAGGAGACCACCACUUCCGGCUGAUUUCACCGUCCACACCCACCACCUUGUGGUCCCUUGUGGCUGCGAUAGGUGCGGAUCUUGUGCCUGAGAUGCUAAGGGGCAGGAACUGGGGAUAGAGUCUAUGAUUUAAAGAGGCCUGGUUCUUUGUGGUGUGGUACUUGGAAAGACCCCGGGUCUGACUGAACUCCUGCCCUCCACCAUCUGGACUGGUCACGGGGGCAUCGCUCUGCUUGUCUGACCCUCGGUCCUUAUCUGGAGAAUGACAAAAACCUGUCCAGAGGUAAUGAAGAGCCAAGGCCCGCGUGAGGGUGGCCGUGUGUAUCCAGCUCUCUCUGUCCUGCGGGUCCCUCGCUGCUCUGGGUUGAUUUCAUUCAGCAAUCUGGUGGUAGGCGGUUAAAUCUCCUUGCGCCUGCGCAGACCAGCAGGGCAGAGGGUGGGCAGAGGGUUUGCGGAAGGAAAUGGGUGGCAGGCGUUCAUCGGGGGACCCAGGUGGAGGGGACGGUUUCCUUGCUGGUCCUAGUGGGUUCUCUGGAUUCCCUGACAGCGUUGUAAUCUGCAGGGCAGCUUCUGUGGCUUCCUGGGUGGCACUGGAGGAAUUUGAUCACCUGAGGUGCUGCACCCCUCUGCUUAGGGUCCGGGUUCUCCCAUGGAGUGGAUCUGUCACCCCCAGACCAUAGAGCAAGUAAGCUCCAGGGCCGAGGAGCUUUUGCUCAAUACAAGACCAGCCUCAAAUCACAUAUGGUGCAGGUCUUUUGGGGUCACCUUUGUAGGGUGUCACGGCCACUUAAAUACAGAGCCAGGUUGUAUUCUUGAAAAUGUCCACCGCCCACACUUCAUCUAAAAAGGAUUGCUCUUUUCUUGCUAAAAACAAGUAUGCUUACAUUUCCCGUGGAGGCUGCACGGUCUCCUGCCCGGCCCCUGUGUGUGUCCAUGGCAGGUGAGGCAUGGGGACAAAUGGUUAUUGCUAUUGUGGCAUCGGGAGGGGCUGCUCUACACAGGAGACCUCAGACUGGGCCCAAAGCCAGGGCAUGACAGAUGCUAAGGACACACAACAGGGCGUGUUUGAACGGGUGGGGGAAAGUUUCACCGUCACCAGCAAGGUGGGAAGCAAUUCAGAUGCAGGGCACGCUGGGCGAUUCCAGCGGGAAGAAGACAAGGAGAUUCCUCACAAAGGGAUGAGGGCCACACUAGCAGCGGAUGUUGGGCGGAGACUUCAAAUUCAUCCGAUGUCCUUUGUAGGGAACAAGAACUCCUGGACCGCAUUGCAUGUCUAAACAGUGGCAAGUUUCCUCCGCAAGUUCCACCUACUUGGACUGCUUGCUAUUUGCUUUUUUCUAAUUAUCAGGUUGUAAAAUUGUCAGAUGUAUACAUUUAUUGUUUCAAAUAAGAAAAGGUAAAACUGUAAAGCAGAAAACUGGAGCUGAGAUAAAAGACUUAAGGGCUAGGGCCGGGGAUUUAUCUCAGUGUUUCGCCGCCUGCCAUGCAAGCUUGCAAGUGCAAGGGCCGGAGUUCGAUCUCCGGUACCAAAAAAAAAAGACUUCAGGGCUAUUCCUUCUGACCUUUAGUGCCAACAAUAAAUUGUUCUCAGGAAACUGCUUUAAGUCUGCACGCAAUGCAAAUUGAUCCCUUCACAAGGUCAAGUGGACUCUGUUGUUCCUCUUGUUUUUCAAAAAAUGAAAUUGAACUUCAGAAUGAGUCCAGGCAGCUCAGACGCACCUUCCUGGCAAGCGCAGGGUCCUGAAUUCGAUCCCUGGUUCUGGAAAAAAAAAAAAAAAAAAAAAAAGUGAGUCAAGCAGGAAUUUGCAGAAAUGUGUUCUUAAAAGAGUGGAGCACUUGAAAGGUCUGUGUGGCCAAUGAUCUCCUAGAGGUUUAUGCUUCCCUUUCUAGGAUUAUUAUGUCUUUAUCCACUCAGAUGGUUAAGAUGUAAUUCUCUGGAGUCUGGAGUAUUUCACAGGGGAGACAGGGAAUCGUGUGUAUUCUCUGCCCUUGAGAAGAUGCCAGGAAGCCCAGAGCAGAAGGGAGGGGCGCUACCACCCAAGUGCUGGACACACGUCUUUCAGAGCCUUUCUGGAGAAGAGGUGUCUGUGAGAGACUGGACACGGAGCCUGCUGGGGUUAGACAAGCAGCGGGAUUCCUAAAGGAAGGAUGGUGCUUGGGAGAGGCUCACGUAGAGAUAAGCACAGGUCUAACCUGUGCCGUACUGUAGCAUAAAAAUGAUUUCCUCAACCCUCACAGUGUGUGCAGAGCCCCACAGUUUGCAGCCAUAAAACCCUCCAAGGAAAGGAAAUGAAUGCAUCAAAUAGCUUCUUUUUCUCAGUAGUUUUCCUCCAAAUGAAAAUGCCUGGACCUCCGUGAAGCUGCUUCCCCUAACUCCUGAACAUCACAUUUGCACCUCUGCCUGCACAGCCACGGCCCCCUGCUCAGUCGGACAUGGAGAGCUGGGGUGUGGCACUGCUGUGCUCUACCAGCAGGCCCACCAGUGCCCACCAGUGCUCACCACCGGUGAUGUAGAUUUACUCUGCCACCCGAGGAUGCACAGUUUGUGUGUUUGUUUUCUGGAGACACCUCUUCCUGUUAGCUUAGUGCAUGGAUUCCUGCUGCAUUUUUGUUCUCUGGGUUGCAUAAGUGGUUGCAAACUCAGCGCUGCAGACACCCACCCCUGCAUUACCUGCUGCCUCUGGGCUCUGCCUGGAGGUUGCGGUGAGAUCAGGCGGCUUCGUACCUGGAGGGUCUGGGCAGGAAUCCAACUCUGGAUUCAGUAGCUUGGCAGAAAGUGGUUCCGUGGGGUGGUUCUGCUUCCUCCCUGGCUGUUGGGGGCCCAGUUCUGUCCCCAGACCCUAAAGGUCCCACGUGUUCCUAGUCACAUGACUACUUGUCUUCAAGCUGCCAGCAGCUGCCCCAAACCUACCAUCCUUGGAAUCUCUCUGGCUUCUCUUCCUGCCUCCAGCCAGAGAAGUUCCCUGCUCCCAGAGCCCCUGAGAGGCGCAGGGUCCUAACCCAUGGCACAGGCAGGAGUGAAGCCCCUUCCCACCCCAGGUCCUACUUGAGGGGCAUGGCAUCUCAGGGGGCAUCUUAAGAAGUCUGCCCGUUCCCAACUUUCCAUCAUCAUCAUCAAAUGCUAAUAACCCUUGUGCAAAAUAAGUAUUCACAUCUAGGAUUCAUAGCUGGAGACCUAGGGCUCAUUCUACUAUAUUAAAAGCUGGUAUUACUAUGUGGUAGUUCCUGUGGAGUUUUGCCAGGCAGGCCAUAAAUCCCCGUGAGCAUGUGUGCAAGUGUGAGUCACUAUGGCUUUGCCAGUGCAAGCACACUCUUUUAAGAACAUUGGGAGGUGAAUAUGGAUGUCAUUGUUUAUAAUCCGCAUUCAUUUCAUUAACAGUUCUGUGCUUGUCCACAUGUUUUCUGGUUGGCUAUAUUUUUUCUCUGACUCUGUAUAUGCUCUUUGAUUUUCUUAAUUUCUCAGGCU